RNAcentral lists this ribosomal RNA (253 nucleotides) under uncultured bacterium. RNAcentral's name for it is "partial 16S ribosomal RNA". It matches the Rfam family "Bacterial small subunit ribosomal RNA", at positions 524 to 776 of the family's 1533-position model. The record is from RNAcentral.
UACGGAGGGUGCGAGCGUUAAUCGGAAUAACUGGGCGUAAAGGGUACGCAGGCGGAUUUUUAAGUCAGGGGUGAAAUCCCCGGGCUUAAACUGGGAACAGCAUUUCAGACUGGGAGUCUAGAAGACUUUAGGGAGGGGUAGAAUUCCACGUGUAGCGGUGAAAUUCGUAGAUAUGUGGAGGAAUACCGAAGGCGAAGGCAGCCCCUUGGGAAAGUACUGACGCUCAGGUGCGAAAGCGUGGGGAGCAAACAGG